GACGAACGCUGGCGGCGUGCUUAACACAUGCAAGUCGAACGGAAAGGUCCUGCUUGCAGGGUGCUCGAGUGGCGAACGGGUGAGUAACACGUGGGUGAUCUGCCCCUUACUUUGGGAUAAGCCUGGGAAACUGGGUCUAAUACUGGAUAGGACCAUGCUGUAGGUGGUGUGGUGGAAAGAUUAGUUUCGGUAAGGGAUGAGCUCGCGGCCUAUCAGCUUGUUGGUGGGGUAAUGGCCUACCAAGGCGUCGACGGGUAGCCGGCCUGAGAGGGUGGACGGCCACAUUGGGACUGAGAUACGGCCCAGACUCCUACGGGAGGCAGCAGUGGGGAAUAUUGCACAAUGGGCGCAAGCCUGAUGCAGCGACGCCGCGUGGGGGAUGACGGCCUUCGGGUUGUAAACUCCUUUCAGCCAUGACGAAGCCCUUGUGGUGACGGUAGUGGUAGAAGAAGCACCGGCUAACUACGUG
RNAcentral lists this ribosomal RNA (469 nucleotides) under uncultured bacterium. Its description in RNAcentral is "partial 16S ribosomal RNA". It matches the Rfam family "Bacterial small subunit ribosomal RNA", at positions 28 to 507 of the family's 1533-position model. The record is from RNAcentral.